Molecule: long non-coding RNA, 5936 nt
Filed under: Marmota monax (woodchuck)
Lineage: Eukaryota; Metazoa; Chordata; Mammalia; Rodentia; Sciuridae
Source: RNAcentral
GCGAGAUUAGGGAAGCAGUGUUUUCUUUUCUUCCCGUAGUUGGCUUGAGCACGCCCACUGCAGAGGGAAAUGCCUGGGGUCUAAGAACUUUGAUAUCUCGCUUAAACUUUUCUCAAAACCCUGUCCUCGUUAUUAAAUUGGCAUUAAUUGGCUUUGGGGAUGGGAACCAAACUUUCAGUCAUAAAUUUUGACACCCCAGAGGGGACUUUAAAGGAGUCCCCACUCUGCCAUCUUGGGGAAGCCUAGCACUCGAAACAACUGCAAGCAGAGGAUGAACUUUUUGGGAGCUGACUACUGAAAAUUUGGGAGAUAUAGAAAAUGCCUGGUGCCUGGGGUCAAACCAAACCAGAGGAACUAAUCCUGUAAGUAAAAGGUGAGGCUAAGGGACUCCCAGCAGCUGCCAGAGCCAUUUUGCUUUGGGGAACUCCCUCAUUCCUUACUUACACUUUAAGUAUUACUCCACCUCUGUUUACUUAACAAAAGGGACAAUGAAUGCAGUAAUGUGUUGAUAUUAUAAAUUGUUUCUUGGGGAUGACCUUGGUUAAAUGUGUAUCUAAAAGAUGAUUUUUUACUGUAACAAUCUGGUAUCUGAAUGGGUUUCUAAAGCAUUGCACAAUCUUGCAGUUAAGAGUUGGGUUUAAGUAAUUGUUUAGUUUGAAAUUUCAGAUAGUUCAUGCUAGAAAACUUAAAUACUUAGGGUAAAAAAAAAUUAGAAAGUUUCAAUUUUGAACUGGGUAGCCUGAGAAAAUUUCACUAGGUAUUCCAGUGCAUUAACUUGGGCAAAGAUAAUAAAUUAUGAUAUGGUGGUAUCUGUUCCCCUCAGUGUGUAAGAUUUAAAAAAAAAAAAAGGUGCUAAAUUAAAAUGUUGGUCUGGCUUAUUGAAAUGACAUUAAUUAGCAACAGUCUUGGGAAUUUUUAGAGCUUAAUUUUGGAUAUACAUGGUAGAACUUAAUACUACUUUUACUACUUUAGGAUCUUAAGAACAAAGACAGUGGCUUAAUGAUCCUGAAGAAAUUUCUUCUGUGGUAGCUUUUUUAUUAUUAAGAUCCUAUUUUCAGUUUUGUGUGAGCAAGUUUUUCUAAUGUAAAGAGAUAUAAAGAUAUAAAAUUUUGAGAAUUACAUCUUAAACUUGCAUCAUAAUUUUCAACAUCCAAACCUGGAAAUUAUGACUUAUAGCUAAAAUGCCUUAGGCAUGAGGUUUCUGCUCAGAAUUCCAGUUUUCCCAGUUCCUUCCAGACCUCAGCCAGGACUUAAGCUGAUAUGCAAAUAAAAGAAGCCUGCAGCACUCAGCAGGAGACAGAUCUCAGACCCAAGGGGAAAAAAAAAAAAGAUUAAAAGUGUCUUUUUACCUGAACUCAAACUAGACCCCAACCAAAAAGUAAAUUAUAUGGUAUUUACUAAUUACUGGCCAGUCAUCUUUUUUAGGACUCUUGCUUUUUCUUAGAUUCUGUAUUUUUUUUUUUGAGCUCAUGAUUUUGAUCCUGCAGACGGGUUAAUAUUUUCUGAUCAGUUCUAUUUUUGAUCAAAUGUGGAGUUUUUAAACAUUGCAAUGGAGAUUUCACCUGAAAAAGCUACAAGGCCUUUACUAUUGUGUUAUGUGUUACGCUUGUGUUACGUGUUGUAUGUCGGUAUGUCUGUAUGUGUGUAUGUCCAUAUAUCCUGCAGUGAUAUGACAAUUGACAUAUGAGGAGCGCUCAUGAAAAAUUUAAAAAUGGAUCCAAAUAUCUUUGAUUCACGUGAUUCAAAUGGUUCAAUUUAAAUUUGGUAAACAGAUAAAAGUAAAGAUGUCUUUAAAAUUAAGCUUAUAAGUUUUUCUAGGUGUUCAAAAAGACCCUAAUAAAAUGUUGAUGUCUAUGAAAUAAUCUGCUUAAAUUCAGAAAUUUACAAGUAUUGUUUCAAAAUGUGAACAGAAAGAGGUUAACAGAUGGAAAAGAGAAACUAAAAGGUUCUAGAUAUAGAUUUAAUAGAGGGAAAAUGUGUUUCUGGAUAAGAGAGUCUAUAUGAUUAAGUACUUAAGAGGGUUUAAAUAAGUGAUAAAAAAAGGUCUGUGUAAGUUGGCUAUAUAUGUAAGUUUUUGAGCAAGUAAUCUUAAAAAAAUUAAAAAUUAUACAACUAUGGUUAAACAACAACUGUUAUUUUUCAAUACUUUUCUUGUGCUCUCUUGCUCUGCAUAAUGAAGUUCUUUCAAACCCAAUUUCAGAAAGUUUCUAAUCAAACUUUCAACCAGCUUCUGCUUAGGCACUACCGGCCUCUGAUGACUGAUGAACCCCCAACAUCUUCAAGAGAACAGUUCACUCAGUGCUGAAGCUCACUACCAGGCACGAUGGAAUACAACGGACAUCAGACAGCGGGAGACAACGAGUUCGGAGAACCUCUCAAUCUACCAUUCUGGGUUCAUGAGUCUUUAUGUCCUUCUAAGCCUCCUCAUGGCCCUUGGCCUCUUUUCUGUCAGUCCCCCAACAUGGAACUUCUGCCAAAAAAUUGACCUUUGCUUUAAUUUUUAUCUUCAUUCUGUUUUUAUUCGCUCUGAUUUUCUUCAGGUGCUGGUGAUGCCAACAUGGUGCCUAAGGACUUCUUCUUCCUACCUCCUUCUUCUCUGCAGUGGCGCGAAAAGUUCCUGCCCGUGUGAACUCUCCAGCUGGCGCCAAUCUCAAAUCUUGCUGGCGGAGAACCUUAGCCCCAAUGAGAACUAAUUCCUGGGCUCCGGAGCUGAUAUCUGGAAGAACUUACCAAUAAACUGGUUGCCUGCCAUUUAUCUAAGCCCUACCAUCUCCCCCUUAGUUCUAUAUAAGCACACAGCUUUUUGCAAGGUUAAUUAUGGUGCCAUUAAUAUAUGUUCAUAUUUUCCAGGUAUACAAGUCUGUAAGGUAGAAGCUUCAAAAGACCAUUGUAUUAAGCUGGUGUUCUAAGGUUGUAUGGUAAUUUUAGGCUUAAAAGAAAAACAUGUUGGAGAUUUAUUUAUAUCAUUUGUGUUCUACAACUGGACUUGUUAUCAGUUCCAUGUUACUUUUUACACUGAGAUACAAUUUAAAUGUAUUUUUAAGUUAAUGAGAGCCUAAUCUGUGUAAAGGUUUUAUUGUAAAACACCAAAGUACUUUGCUACUCUUCUAUAAAAGGUUAGAAGUUUUCAGCCUUUAAUUCAUGUUUUAGAUGUGAUAUUAUGUUGUGUUAGUUAAUAUCAAUGUAAACUUGAGCAACAAUUUAUGUAGGCUUUGUAAAAUGAUGUCUAAAAAGCAAAGAUCAGCUUCAGAACUAUAAUAUUUAAGAUUUAUGAAGAGCCCCGCCUUACUUCAGAUAAGACUCUAUGUCCCACCUCAUGUGAAAGAGACUAUGAAAGUAGGCCAGAUUUCAGUACAUUUAAAGUUGUGUCCAAAAGUUGGUUUUUGCCAAGUUUACUAGGAUCUCAAACAGGGGAUUAUGAUGUAUAACCCUGCCAGAAUUCAAGGUAGCUAUUACAUAAACUAAAUAUGUCUUUACCCUAGUUAAUUUUAGUUUGUAGUUUGCUUAUAGAUGGUCUAAGGAUUGCCUGUUAAUGUUUUAAAGAGGUACUGCUUUAAGAACACACAACCUGGGUCAACUUAAGAUAAGGAGUUAUCAACUACAGGAUAGAGAGACAGACAUUAAAGCCCAGUGCUCUUAAUAUAAGGCUGUUAACUUAUUUGCUGGAUGUUUAAGAUUAAGUUUUAAAAUUAAAGUUAAAUUAAAAGGGCCAAGAAAACCAAUAUUUGGCUCUUUCCCUCUGAGUCAGUCUGAAUCAGGGAAUAGUGGACUUCUCCAAAGAGCUUUGCAACUCUAGGCCACAUAACCUCCCAGUCAGGGAGAUUAAUGAGACCAGUGGAGGACAGAAAGUCAAUCAGUGCAUUUGCUAUGAAGAGGAGGGUCAUCAGAGAAGGGAGAUAUCCCUGAUGCUUCUGAGGGAAGCUACAUGGUCAAGCAAGGCCUGGACCCAUCCUAGCGCAAAUGGCACUAGCGGAACUGAGAAGCUGCUGUAAGUUCCCCGAGGACUCCCAGGGAAACUCAGUGGACUGUUAACAAUAGAUAGAAACAAAAGUCAGUUUGACUUGCUUCAUCUUAAACACUUAGCAAAAACAGUCAAAGCCAAAGCACAGCUGUUCCUGGACAUUUUAAAUGAUAAUAAUAGUUAAAUGUAACUUCCAUAAAUAAGUAAACUGGAGGCUACAAAAGAGAUUCUCAGACAGGAAUGCCUGAUAACUAUUAAAAGGAACUGCCAGAGUAGUUUUUAGUUUAAGGACCACAGAUAUUCCUAACCUACACAGGUAGGCUUAAUGUUUGCUAGUAUGGUUAUCCAGCCCUAAGUAACAGAAUUAAAGAUUUCCCUAUUAGACACAGAGGUCAUACUAGUAAAAGGAUUUUGCAAGAUCAGAUGGCAUUAAAUUAUUAAACUGUAUCUUAAGGGAAAUGACAUCUGUAACCCUAAAUGUUAAUUGUUGUGUUUACAUCCCUGACAUUUCUGGCAAGGUGAAAAAUAUCCUUAAAGAUUUACAUGCUCAGAUGAAGCCAUGUACUCAGCAACUUUGUCAUGGAAACAAUAUCAGCUCCUGGUUCUUGGUACUUCUUGGUAGAAAACAUUGUUAGUCUUUGUCUUUGCCAUUAUACUCAUUGACAUAUUCCUGUGCUAUGGGAUUUAUUGUUGCAUCAAUCUGGUUCCAAAACUAAUGAAUUCUUGUUUCUCUUAUAGACCACCCAUCACUCAAAUGGCCCUCCAGCCUAUUACUUCUCAAUCGGACUUUUGUCAUGGACCACUCGAUAGACCCGAUUUUAAAGGGGGACUCCAAACUGCUUGCCCCACACCGUCCCUUUUCAGCCUGAAGAAGCCAGAAAGAUCCUCUUCGCCCCCCUUCCUUACAGCAGUGAGGAGUUCCCAAAUUAGAGGGGGGAAUGAAGCCAGAUUUAAAGUUAGGUAGUCAGUGUAGUUAGAUAAAUCGGGGUCUAAUACCGAGUAAAAUCUGAAAAGGAGGCCACGCUGAGAAUGAUUCCAGGGAACACAAAACAACUCAUGAAAUGUGAAACCCUUCAAUAAUUGUGAUUCAUUACUUUUAAGAUUAAAAGUAGUCAGAAAAAGGAGUGGGGAAUGUAAGGGUAAAAAAAAUUGAAGUUAAAGUGUAAAAGACCAGGUAUUGUAAAGUUUCUAAGCUGCAAGGACUGAGUUAAAAAAUAAAGGACCAGGUAUUGUUAAGUUCCUAUGCUACACACAAAACCUGAAAUUCCUGUAGCUGUUAGGACAAUACUGGAACUGCCCAGUAAAUAUUCCCCCUGACCAUCUGGUUGUUUAAUAACCUAGGACCCUGUGUGGCCUGGCACGUAGGCAUCGCAGGGCCUAAACCAAUCAGUUUGAAUGUACCUCCCUCCUUAGAACUCACCUAUCACUCCUGCCCAACCUGUUCCCACCAAUGAAUGUGCUAAUCAAAUUUGAGAAUUGUUGUUUGAUUUUCCCACGGUGUAUAAUGAUUUGUUAAAGGAGACUGUGAUGUAUGUAAAGUCCCCGCCCUCCCCAAAAAGUGUACUUAAGCACUGCUCAACCCCUGCUCUGGGCUCUGGGCUGCUCUCCCUUCUUGAGCACGGAGCCCCAGCAUGCUGGAUUGGAUCCUCAAUAAACCCCAUUUGCUGUUGCAUGAGCCACGGUCUCUUGGUGGUCUCUUCCUCCGAAGUUCGCCGGACCCUUACAUGAGAUCAAUUUGAUUCUGUGUGUUUUCAAAUCCUUUCAUCUUAAAAUAAUCAGAAUUCCAUAAUUCUGCUGUACCAUGUGGCCUCAAUCUCAUAUUAUGUGGAUUUUGGCAAAUUCCAGAAUCUCUGUAUACAUCUCAGUUUCCUCAUAUAAAAGAUUCAGGAGGAUGGUUGUGAAGAGUAGAUAAGAAAACUCAUUAGCAGUUUAGAAUCAUGCCUGGCAUAUAGUACUCAGACCCAAAUUCCCUUCC